Molecule: long non-coding RNA, 294 nt
Filed under: Lathyrus oleraceus (garden pea)
Lineage: Eukaryota; Viridiplantae; Streptophyta; Magnoliopsida; Fabales; Fabaceae
Description: Pisum sativum (pea) long non-coding RNA (PSAT_LNC037034)
Source: RNAcentral
GAAAAAUGAUCUUCAACACAGGAGUACCAAAAAUAUAUUAUCUAUUUGAUCGCGACUUUAUGAGUCGAAUUGGGGUACUAACUGCAAGUGCACAGUUCUAUCGCGUAGUUUUAAAAGAUAUCGAUCCCACAGGGACUUAUGAAUCGAUAUACCGUUUUCUAAGGUUACUAAGUCGAAUUGGGGUACUAACUGCAAGUGCACAGUUCUAUCGCGUAGUUUUAAAAGAUAUCGAUCCCACAGGGACUUAUGAAUCGAUAUACCGUUUUCUAAGGUUACUUCGUAAAGCUAAGGCGG